CUGCUUAUGGAUGAGUGUGCGUCCUAUUAGUUAGUUGGUGAGGUAACGGCUCACCAAGACGAUGAUAGGUAGGGGGCGUGAGAGCGUGGACCCCCACACGGGUACUGAGACACGGACCCG
RNAcentral lists this ribosomal RNA (120 nucleotides) under uncultured bacterium. RNAcentral describes it as "partial 16S ribosomal RNA". It matches the Rfam family "Bacterial small subunit ribosomal RNA", at positions 215 to 334 of the family's 1533-position model. The record is from RNAcentral.